Suricata suricatta (meerkat) is the source of this 560-nucleotide long non-coding RNA. RefSeq lists it as uncharacterized. The transcript is spliced from 3 exons. Lineage: Eukaryota; Metazoa; Chordata; Mammalia; Carnivora; Herpestidae. The record is from RefSeq and is a predicted model, not a curated record.
UCACCCACCCUGCCUUCCUGACUCCGCAAGUUUUCACCUCCACCGGCACCUCCGCAUCUGUCUCUCAGCUCCCUCCCCUCCUUCUCUCAUCCCUUCUGACUUCUCUGUGCCUCGAGUUGAUGGUCAGCUUCUCUAGGCCAGUGUUCUGGCACCGCUGUACUGGCCCAGGGAACACCCAGGUCUCUGCACAGAGCAGUUGUGCUGCUUCCUCCCUGGUUGAGAGCUGGCGGUGGUGGCUCACAGAGCGCUGCUCCAGAGGCCGGUGCAGGUGACCCGGGCCAGAGCCAUCGACAGUGUACUGUGCUGCAGACUCGGGGGGGAAGCAGAAAUAGAACAGUCCAGGCAUCAGGCAACACCUCUCUCACAGGAUCAUCUGAGGUAGCUUGUAUGGGUCCCAUUUUACAGCACCUUAGAAUCCAAGAAGGUUCAAGAUGGAAGGCAUCUUAGGGAAUGCUAGCUCAACCUCUCAUCUGAUGAGUAAAGAAAUUGAAGAUCCUGAGAGGGAAAAGGGGUCCCAGGUAACACAGGCCAUUGUUAACUCAAUUAAAUGAUGAAAUUCA